This 89-nucleotide non-coding RNA is filed under the name Pseudomonas sp. 29. The record is from RNAcentral. Lineage: Bacteria; Pseudomonadati; Pseudomonadota; Gammaproteobacteria; Pseudomonadales; Pseudomonadaceae.
UGUAGGAGCGAGCCUGCUCGCGAUUGCAGACUGGCAGUCAAUGCUGUGGUGAAUGACACACCGCAAUCGCGAGCAGGCUCGCUCCCACA